This 79-nucleotide transfer RNA is filed under the name Alistipes indistinctus. RNAcentral describes it as "tRNA-Asp". It matches the Rfam family "tRNA". From Rfam's summary of the family: Transfer RNA (tRNA) molecules are approximately 80 nucleotides in length. Their secondary structure includes four short double-helical elements and three loops (D, anti-codon, and T loops). Lineage: Bacteria; Pseudomonadati; Bacteroidota; Bacteroidia; Bacteroidales; Rikenellaceae. The record is from RNAcentral.
CGGUGUGGUAGUUCAGCUGGUUAGAAUGCCUGCCUGUCACGCAGGAGGUCGCGGGUUCGAGUCCCGUCCAUACCGCCCA